Molecule: long non-coding RNA, 1441 nt
Organism: Homo sapiens (human)
Lineage: Eukaryota; Metazoa; Chordata; Mammalia; Primates; Hominidae
Gene: PCBP1-AS1
Product: PCBP1 antisense RNA 1
Source: Ensembl
GCUUUUCUCUGUUAGAGUAUUUACAGAAGGCCUGUGUGUCAGAAGUCAGCCCUGUGGCAGGAGGCAGAAGCUGGGAUGGGUGCCCACAAAGGAAGCCUUAUUUUCCAAGGCAGCCAGAGAAUCAUGGGUCUGAACUUAUCCCGUCUUCUCAGAUGGAGGACUAAGACCCAGAAAGAGGGAGGAAUUUGUCCAAGCUCUCCCAGUGAGCUGAUGCCAGAGCCAGGACUAGAACUCAGGUCUCCCAAUUCUCAGCACAGUGUGAUUUUCCUUGCAGAAUGUUGAUGCUCAAAGAACAGGAACCCCAGAACCCCAGGGAGGUAAGGAAGAAGAGCACAGCCAGGAUCAGAAGAGUGAAGAAACAAUGAUGUCCCACAGGCAAGGAUGCCCACACAGAAUGACUUUGGGGGGACUGCCAGUUAUUUUGUAUGGAAGGCUGAAGGUAGUGGCAGGAGACUUGUUAGGCCUUGCACUGGUGAGGCUGGUGGGGAACAGAUGUUCAAGGGCCUGGAAAACUGUGCUGAACAGUUUGGGUUUUCUUUCAUAGACCAUGGGGGUGAGGUGGGACUUGAAGGCCUUUGAUCGGGGGACACAUGUGUUUAGAUCUGAAUUUUAGGAAGGCCCCUCAGGUGGCCAGGCUAGGUGAGGUGAGCAGAGGACUUGGUAGUGGAAGGCUUCUCUUGCUGUGACUGCCUAUUUGUAUGUCUGACUGGGCGCUGUCUCACUGGCAGGAGGUGGCAGGCCCAGGGAUGCUGGACAGUAUGUGGUUCACCACUUGGGGUAGCCAAGAGUAGCAAGGGGUGAGGUGGGUUCAACUCACAAACCUGAAGCUCUUGGUAAAUACUGCUUACUUUUCAGGUCACAGGGAGUAAGUAGCUGCUCUAGGGGUGAACCCAAGAGUGGUGAUUCACUGUCCAAACUACUGGCUGGAGGAGAGCUCGUGGUGGUCAUGUACGUGUGUGCAUGUGUGUGUGUCUAUAUUUGAGUGGGGCAAGGGAGGGGAUUGGGGACCGGGGGAGACCAGCCUUCUAAACACAUGAUACAAAUACUAUGGCUAUGACACAACAGGUGUUUGUCAACCUGUUCCAGCUCUUCCCAACUAUGGCAGUGGCUAUGGCCUAACAGCUGGAGGCAGGAACAGGGCAGUGACAAGAAUCAGCAACUGCAUAGGGGCCUCAUCAAUUUCCAGUCCUCCAUCCAGAAGAGGACAGGACAUGCUCAAGCUGCCCCAAAGAGAAAGGACAAAGGAGAGGAAUUCUGAGAUGCAAGUCCCUAUGGAAGAGGGGACAGAGUUAAAUUCCAGCAGUCCAACAGACUAUGGCUAGAGCCAUAGUCUUCUCUUACCUGUAUCUUUAACGUUCAGCUUACUAUUGGUUCCUUAUUAUCUCCUGUUAGUGAGGUUCCUUUCAAAAACAAUAAAACAAAACAAUAUUUUCCCGCUCAA